CAGUAGCCGCGGGAAUACGUAGGUGGCAAGCGUUGUCCGGAAUUAUUGGGCGUAAAGGGCUCGCAGGCGGUUUCUUAAGUCUGAUGUGAAAGCCCCCGGCUCAACCGGGGAGGGUCAUUGGAAACUGGGAAACUUGAGUGCAGAAGAGGAGAGUGGAAUUCCACGUGUAGCGGUGAAAUGCGUAGGGAUGUGGAGGAACACCAGUGGCGAAGGCGACUCUCUGGUCUGUAACUGACGCUGAGGAGCGAAAGCGUGGGGAGCGAACAGGAUUAGAUACCCCCGUAGUCCCUGUCUCUUAUAC
Molecule: ribosomal RNA, 301 nt
Filed under: uncultured bacterium
Lineage: Bacteria
Description: partial 16S ribosomal RNA
Rfam family: Bacterial small subunit ribosomal RNA
Source: RNAcentral